AGUAUCGCGUAGGUAACCUACCCUUGAGUGUGGAAUAAGCCCGGGAAACUGGGUACAAUACCGCAUGUUAUCCGACCGGCGCAUGUCGGACGGAUCAAAGCCUUCGGGCGCUCAGGGAUGGGCCUGCGUUCUAUUAGCUUGUUGGUGAGGUAAAGGCUCACCAAGGCUACGAUGGAUAGCUGGUCUGAGAGGAUGAUCAGCCACACUGGGACUGAGAUACGGCCCAG
Molecule: ribosomal RNA, 227 nt
Filed under: uncultured bacterium
Lineage: Bacteria
Description: partial 16S ribosomal RNA
Rfam family: Bacterial small subunit ribosomal RNA
Source: RNAcentral